This is a long non-coding RNA of Microtus oregoni (creeping vole), 424 nucleotides long. RefSeq lists it as uncharacterized. Lineage: Eukaryota; Metazoa; Chordata; Mammalia; Rodentia; Cricetidae. The record is from RefSeq and is a predicted model, not a curated record. The transcript is spliced from 3 exons.
CACGAGGCACAGAAUCGGCUCUAGAAGUGUUUCAGAAAAUACUGCCCCCAUUUUGUGGUCUGGAGAGAUCCCUGCUAGUCAUCGGCUUCUGGCUUCCCUGCUAUCCUGCUGCCCCACAGAAUGCAGCUACUAAGUGGCCUAAGAGCCAGCACCUUCAUGGAGUGGUGAAGAAGAAAGGCCAUUUGAGGACACAGUGAGAAGAUGAUGAUUAUCUCCAAGCCAGGAAAAGAAGCCUCAGCAGAAACCAAUCCUGACAGAGAGUUUGGGUUUUCAGCCUCUACAACUGUCUGAUUUUACUGACUCAAACUGGGCACAACUCUUGAGGGAGAGGAAAUGGAUAAUGUGGUUUCCUACAACCCUUUUCAAAUGAAGAAUUCUGGGUCUUUUAGAAAAAUUCAGGUUGGGACUGACAAGAUGGCUCAGG